CCUACGGGUGGCUGCAGUGGGGAAUAUUGCACAAUGGGGGAAACCCUGAUGCAGCAACGCCGCGUGAGUGAGGAAGUAUUUCGGGAUGUAAAGCUCUAUCAGCAGGGAAUAGAAAAGAAGCUACCUGAAAAAGAAACGCCAGCUAACUACACGCCAGCAGCGGCGGUAAUACGUAGGGGGCAAGCGUUAUCCGGAUUUACUGGGUGUAAAGGGAGCGUAGACGGAAAGGCAAGUCAGAAGUGAAAACCCAGGGCUCAACCAUGGGAUUGCUUUUGAAACUGUCAAACUAGAGUACGGGAGAGGUAAGCGGAAUUCCUAGUGUAGCGGUGAAAUGCGUAGAUAUUCGGAGGAACACCAGUGGCGAAGGCGUCUUACUGGACAGAAACUGACGUUGAGGCUCGAAAGCGUGGGGAGCAAACAGGAUUAGAUACCCCGGUAGUA
This 441-nucleotide ribosomal RNA is filed under the name uncultured bacterium. RNAcentral describes it as "partial 16S ribosomal RNA". It matches the Rfam family "Bacterial small subunit ribosomal RNA", at positions 338 to 795 of the family's 1533-position model. The record is from RNAcentral.